This 124-nucleotide non-coding RNA is filed under the name marine eukaryotic metagenome. The record is from RNAcentral.
GUCAGCAGCUUCGCAAUGUACGGUAUCAACGGCAGAUUCAGGAUCAACAACACAAAAUUUCCGAUAUACAUCGAGAUGAUCACCGCCCAAAAUACCUCAGGCUGUUCCUCGAUCAUCCGAGGUC